UUAUGAGAGUUUGAUCCUGGCUCAGGACGAACGCUGGCGGCGUGCCUAAUACAUGCAAGUCGAACGCUUUUUCUUUCACCGGAGCUUGCUCCACCGAAAGAAAAAGAGUGGCGAACGGGUGAGUAACACGUGGGUAACCUGCCCAUCAGAAGGGGAUAACACUUGGAAACAGGUGCUAAUACCGUAUAACACUAUUUUCCGCAUGGAAGAAAGUUGAAAGGCGCUUUUGCGUCACUGAUGGAUGGACCCGCGGUGCAUUAGCUAGUUGGUGAGGUAACGGCUCACCAAGGCAACGAUGCAUAGCCGACCUGAGAGGGUGAUCGGCCACACUGGGACUGAGACACGGCCCAGACUCCUACGGGAGGCAGCA
RNAcentral lists this ribosomal RNA (370 nucleotides) under Listeria monocytogenes. RNAcentral's name for it is "bacterial SSU rRNA". It matches the Rfam family "Bacterial small subunit ribosomal RNA", at positions 1 to 353 of the family's 1533-position model. Lineage: Bacteria; Bacillati; Bacillota; Bacilli; Caryophanales; Listeriaceae. The record is from RNAcentral.